GACGUAGGGCGCGAGCGUUGUCCGGAAUUAUUGGGCGUAAAGGGCUCGUAGGCGGUUUGUCACGUCGGGAGUGAAAACUCGGGGCUUAACUCCGAGCCUGCUUCCGAUACGGGCUGACUAGAGGUAUGCAGGGGAGAACGGAAUUCCUGGUGUAGCGGUGAAAUGCGCAGAUAUCAGGAGGAACACCGGUGGCGAAGGCGGUUCUCUGGGCAUUACCUGACGCUGAGGAGCGAAAGUGUGGGGAGCGAACAGG
RNAcentral lists this ribosomal RNA (253 nucleotides) under uncultured bacterium. RNAcentral describes it as "partial 16S ribosomal RNA". It matches the Rfam family "Bacterial small subunit ribosomal RNA", at positions 524 to 776 of the family's 1533-position model. The record is from RNAcentral.